UACGGAGGGUGCGAGCGUUGUUCGGAAUUACUGGGCGUAAAGCGUGCGUAGACGGUUAUGUAAGUCGGGUGUGAAAGCCCCGGGCUCAACCUGGGAAUUGCAUUCGAGACUGCAUAGCUAGGAUGCGGAAGAGGGAAGCGGAAUUUCCGGUGUAGCGGUGAAAUGCGUAGGUAUCGGAAGGAACAUCAGUGGCGAAAGCGGCUUCCUGGUCCAGCAUCGACGUUCAGGCACGAAAGCGUGGGGAGCAAACAGG
RNAcentral lists this ribosomal RNA (253 nucleotides) under uncultured bacterium. Its description in RNAcentral is "partial 16S ribosomal RNA". It matches the Rfam family "Bacterial small subunit ribosomal RNA", at positions 524 to 776 of the family's 1533-position model. The record is from RNAcentral.